UCACUGUUCUUGAAUGGAGGGAAGCAGACCCUCCCAGUUUCCAUUACUGAUGUGGACCAAGCCAUAGCCGGAAAGCCCAGGAGCCACUGGUGGGGCCGACAACCAGGCAAUGCCAUCAAAUAGCUCUAAGAGCAUCUUUGCUUUCAGCUGCCUCGGUGAAGUGGAGUUGAGUCAUAGAGAUGAGCAGAGAUGCCCAGACAGCUGGGUAGAGUGAGGACAGGGCUGAGAACGGAAUCACCAGGGGCUGGAGGGCUGAUGUCAGUUAGGAGGACACACAGGGGCAUCUCCAGGGAACAUAAGAACAUGGUCCUGCCAGAGGUCAGGGGUCAGAGCGCCCGAGAAGGUCCCUGGUCUGGAGGCCUGCUCCCUGACGGUGUACACCACCUGCCUCCAGCAGCUCUUCCAAGACUCUCAGAAUGACAGGGCAAAUGACUUGAGUAGACAGUUUGGCAAAGAAGAAAUACAGCGAACAAGCCAAUGAAAAAAUGCUCAAUAUCAUGUCACUAGGAAAAUGCAAACUAAAACCACUAUGACAUAUCCCCACUAAAGCUGGUAAAACCAGAGACUGACCGUACCAAGUAUUAGCAGGGAUGCACAGCAGCAGGGACUCGGGGUGUUGCUGCUGAGAAUGUGAGGGACAGCUUACUUGAAAACGUCUGGUGGUUCCCUCAAAGACACCCUCGCUCUACAACCUAGCAACCCUGUUCCUGGGUACUUACCAAGAGGUUUAAAUGGGACCACUUGUCCACACCGAGACUUGUCCAUGCAGGCUCAUCACAGAUCACUCAGAACAGAGAAAAACUGGUGGAUGGAUUGAGAAUGAAACGCCUCCCAGCAUCUAAUGAUUCACGCAGCAACGUGGGGGCAGCACAAGGGCAGCCGGCCAGGAGCUAACCCAACUGGGAGACCUCAGAGAGGGCGAUGCAGCCAUGAGUGUUGGGCGGCAAAGGACUUCUCUCAACCUUCUUGUUAUGGGGAUUUCUCAAUAAGCCUGCCCCAGGAGAGGACAGCUGUGACUGGACCUGGCCUGGGCUGGGCUGGGGCACCAGGAUGGGGGCAGAGGGCCUCUCUGCUGCUGGCUUUCGACCUCAGUCCGUGUCCCUGCACCUCGGGGCGGGGCUUUCUCGUGGUCCUGCCUCUCCCAGGAGUAGGCUAUCUCCUCGCGUGCCUCCUCACAGGCAGAGGGCCUCUGCUCCUCCAGCCUCACCCUCCAGCCUCGGUCUCCAUCUGUGUUUUCUGCUGCUCCCUCAGUGACUCCAGGCUUUUGUUCUUUAAAGGAGAGCUUUGAGGGCUUUGAGGAAGCUUUCUUGGCUGCCUGCCCUGCCCCGCCCCGUGAGCACGGUGCGGUCCCUGCGGAGGGCCCCGGGGGUCUCGGCACCCACGGCUCUUGCCCUCAGCUGCCCUGCUCCGUGCGUGCCUGCCGCGCUUCACUAGAAGUCUCAGCUCACCUCCUGCCCAGCUCUGCCCCAUGACCCACUCUCCUGCCCUCCUUGGAGGCCUGUCUGUCUU
This is a long non-coding RNA of Bos taurus (domestic cattle), 1509 nucleotides long. The record is from Ensembl. Lineage: Eukaryota; Metazoa; Chordata; Mammalia; Artiodactyla; Bovidae.